AUUGAACGCUGGCGGAAUGCUUUACACAUGCAAGUCGAACGAUGAACCUUAGCUUGCUAGGGGGAUUAGUGGCGAACGGGUGAGUAACAUAUCGGAACGUACCUUGUAAUGGGGGAUAACUAGUCGAAAGAUUAGCUAAUACCGCAUACGCCCUGAGGGGGAAAGUAGGGGAUCUUCGGACCUUACGUUAUAAGAGCGGCCGAUAUCUGAUUAGCUAGUUGGUGGGGUAAAGGCCUACCAAGGCGACGAU
This 250-nucleotide ribosomal RNA is filed under the name uncultured bacterium. RNAcentral describes it as "partial 16S ribosomal RNA". It matches the Rfam family "Bacterial small subunit ribosomal RNA", at positions 30 to 280 of the family's 1533-position model. The record is from RNAcentral.